GAUGAACGCUGGCGGCGUGCCUAAUACAUGCAAGUCGAGCGAACAGACGAGGAGCUUGCUCCUCUGACGUUAGCGGCGGACGGGUGAGUAACACGUGGAUAACCUACCUAUAAGACUGGGAUAACUUCGGGAAACCGGAGCUAAUACCGGAUAAUAUAUUGAACCGCAUGGUUCAAUAGUGAAAGACGGUUUUGCUUUCACUUAUAGAUGGAUCCGCGCUGCAUUAGCUAGUUGGUAAGGUAACGGCUUACCAAGGCAACGAUGCGUAGCCGACCUGAGAGGGUGAUCGCCCACACUGGAACUGAGACACGGCCCAGACUCCGACAGGAGGCAGCAGUAGGGAAUCUUCCGCGAUGGGCGAAAGCCUGACGGAGCAACGCCGCGUGAGUGAUGAAGGUCUUCGGAUCGUAAAACUCUGUUAUUAGGGAAGAACAAAUGUGUAAGUAACUAUGCACGUCUUGACGGUACCUAAUCAGAAAGCCACGGCUAACUACGUG
RNAcentral lists this ribosomal RNA (497 nucleotides) under uncultured bacterium. Its description in RNAcentral is "partial 16S ribosomal RNA". It matches the Rfam family "Bacterial small subunit ribosomal RNA", at positions 28 to 507 of the family's 1533-position model. The record is from RNAcentral.